UUCAUUUAUAUUUAAUUCCAGAAACCACAUCAAGUCUUUGUAGAAUGAAGUAGAGUAUAAAGAAGUAGAAGUGUACACAUUCAUCUUUAAAAUAGCCAUGCCUAGGUAAAGCAGCUUGCAUUUAAACACACAAUAGAUUUUUCAUGAUUGUGUUGAACAGAAGUAACCUAACCUGUUUUUAUAGCCUUCAAAAUAAGGGGGAUAGGAAUGCUUUCAGCCCUUUUCAAUAGCUUUGCUUAUCCUGUUUUUUGUUAGAUCCCUCCUCUUGGUUUGAUCAUAGUAGUCACUGUAUUUCUUUUUGUAAGUUGGUCUGCAAAGGAUAGGGCUUGCAGACCAUUGGAAAGUUUGAUGCCUAUGAGUCAUAUUGCUGAAGGCGGAACUUUUGAGCCAGAUUAUUUAUGUAAGGGCACAAGAUGCUGUUAUUUACAACAGAGUGAACUGAGCCUCAGUCAGAAAAAGUCUGUUUGCAGAAAUACAUAUCCAAGACAAAGACAGGAUGGGCACUGCUGGAAAAGUUAUUAAAUGCAAGGCAGCUGUGCUUUGGGAUCAGAAGAAACCCUUCUCCAUUGAGGAAAUAGAAGUUGCUCCACCGAAGACUAAAGAAGUUCGCAUUAAGAUUUUGGCCACAGGAAUCUGUCGCACAGAUGACCAUGUGAUAAAAGGAACAAUGGUGUCUAAGUUUCCAGUGAUUGUGGGACAUGAGGCAACUGGGAUUGUAGAGAGCAUUGGAGAAGGAGUGACUACAGUGAAACCAGGUGACAAAGUCAUCCCUCUCUUUCUGCCACAGUGUAGAGAAUGCAAUGCUUGCCGCAACCCAGAUGGCAACCUUUGCAUUAGGAGCGACAUUACUGGUCGUGGAGUACUGGCUGAUGGCACCACCAGAUUUACAUGUAAGGGCAAACCAGUCUAUCACUUCAUGAAUACCAGUACAUUUACUGAGUACACAGUGGUAGAUGAAUCUUCAGUGGCUAAGAUUGAUGACACAGCUCCACCUGAGAAAGUCUGUUUAAUUGGCUGUGGGUUUUCCACUGGAUAUGGGGCUGCUGUUAAAACCGGCAAGGUCAAACCUGGUUCCACUUGUGUCGUCUUUGGCCUGGGAGGAGUUGGCCUGUCAGUCAUUAUGGGCUGUAAGUCAGCUGGUGCAUCUAGGAUCAUUGGGAUUGACCUCAACAAAGACAAAUUUGAGAAGGCCAUGGCUGUGGGAGCUACUGAGUGUAUCAGCCCCAAGGACUCUACCAAGCCCAUCAGUGAGGUGCUAUCAGAAAUGACAGACAACAAUGUGGGGUACACCUUUGAAGUUAUUGGGCGUCUUGACACCAUGAUUGAUGCCCUGGCAUCCUGCCAUAUGAAUUAUGGAACCAGCGUGGUAGUAGGAGCUCCUCCAUCAGCCAAGAUGCUCACCUAUGACCCGAUGCUGCUCAUCACUGGACGUACAUGGAAGGGAUGUGUCUUUGGAGGUUUGAAAAGCAGAGAUGAUGUCCCCAAAUUAGUGACUGAGUUCCUGGCAAAGAAAUUUGACCUGGACCAGUUGAUAACUCAUGUUUUACCAUUUAAACAAAUCAAUGAAGGAUUUGAGCUGCUCAAUUCAGGGCAAAGUUAAGAAUUUGGCAUCCAUUCUAACAACCACUGCAGCAGAUUCUUGGGAUAAAGUGAGGGAAGAAGGUCUCAUCUACUUGUAAGAUCUCUUGGGCAUCCAGAAAUCUAAGCACACUGGAUUAGAUUAGGGUAAUUCCUGUUCACAUGUUUCUAGGCGUGUUCAUGCUUUCUCUUUAACCUAAAAACCCCUUUCCUCUUGUUGGCAUUCUGAAAUCAUACUGAUGCUUCCAGAAUCAGCUCAGAUACCUCAUCAGAGUUGCACAAGAACGAAAACUAAUUGCAUUAGAACUGUCCUGACGUUUUGAGAUCCAACGUGACAGGAGGUGUUGUGAGGGUGACCUGGAGUUUCUCUUUUGACAGUUCCCUCAUCUGAGAUCGUGGAUCUGUCUCAAAAAAUACAAGCGGAAGUAGAAGGCUUGGUGAAGACAUAGAACCCUUAUAAAGGAUUAUCAACAUUUAUAAACAUUUAGAGUCUUGUGAGCACCUGCGAAUUAGUAUAAUAGCAAUGUUAAAAUUUUUAAUUUACAUUUUGUAAGGCCAUAAUUGUAUCUUUUAAAAAUAUAUCCUUGGAUUUUUACAUUGAAAUAGAGAUUUUUGAGAGUUUCAACCAACUGCUGCAGAUAUGUGUCUCAAAACAGAUAUAACGUGUAAAGAUAUAGUAAAUGCAUCUCCUAGAGUAAUUCUCACUUAACACAUUGAAAUUAUUGUAUUUUAGAUUUGAAUAUAAAUGUAUUUUUAAAUAUCUGUUAUGAGUUAACUUGGAUUAGGUUUUGAAAUCAGUUCAUUUCAUGAUACAUAUUACUUGAUUAGAUUAAGAAAGACAGAAAAGAUUAAGGGCAGGGCACAUUUUUCAACGAUUAAGAAUCAUCAUUACAUAACUUGGUGAAACUGAAAAAGUGUGUCAUAUAGGCACAUGAGGCUAUUUGCCAGCAUAUAUUAAUAUUUCAAAAAAUUCCUUUUUGGAAUACUGAAUAUAAAUGUAGAGCUAGAAUCACAUUAUAAUAUUUACCAUAAUGUUCAGGUUGAUACAGUACAAUUACAAGUCCCUAUUCACUGUGCUUAGUAGUGACUCCAUUUAAUAAAAAGUGUUUUUAUUUUUUAACAACCACACUGAUGUAUCUAUAUAUAUCUAUAGCAUGUUAAAAAUACUUAAAAUUAAAAAUUGUAUAAAAUA
Callithrix jacchus (white-tufted-ear marmoset) is the source of this 2770-nucleotide RNA transcript. It is a transcript of the gene named alcohol dehydrogenase 7 (class IV), mu or sigma polypeptide, with no coding region annotated. NCBI's taxonomy places the organism in Eukaryota, Metazoa, Chordata, Mammalia, Primates, Cebidae. The record is from RefSeq and is a predicted model, not a curated record.